GACGAACGCUGGCGGCGUGCCUAACACAUGCAAGUCAAAGGAAAGCAACUUCGGUUGUAAGUACUUGGCGCAAGGGUGAGUAAUGUAUAGGUAAUCUGCCCUUAGGACUGGCAUAACCUCGAGAAAUCGAGGACAAUACCAGAUGAUGCAGCGGGACCGCAUGGUCAUGUUGUUAAAGAUUUAUCGCCUAAGGAUGAACCUAUAUCCCAUCAGGUAGUUGGCAGGAUAAUAGCCUACCAAGCCUACGACGGGUAGCUGGUCUGAGAGGAUGAUCAGCCCCAUUGGAACUGAGACACGGUCCAGACUCCUACGGGAGGCAGCAGUGAGGAAUAUUGCGCAAUGGGCGAAACCCUGACGCAGCAACGCCGCGUGGAUGAUGAAGUUCUUCGGAAUGUAAAGUCCUUUUGUAGAGGAAGAACAUGUCGGUUUACCGGCACUGACGGUACUCUGCGAAUAAGCCACGGCUAACUCUGU
RNAcentral lists this ribosomal RNA (474 nucleotides) under uncultured Chlorobiota bacterium. Its description in RNAcentral is "bacterial SSU rRNA". It matches the Rfam family "Bacterial small subunit ribosomal RNA", at positions 28 to 506 of the family's 1533-position model. Lineage: Bacteria; Pseudomonadati; Chlorobiota. The record is from RNAcentral.